AGUGGCGGACGGGUGAGUAACACGUGGGUAAUCUGCCUGUAAGAGCGGGAUAACAGGGUGAAAACGCUGCUAAUACCGCAUAAGCUCACAGAAGGGGAACCUUCAGGGAGAAAAGGGAGCAAUUCGCUUACAGAUGAGCCCGCGGCUGAUUAACUAGUUGGUGAGGUAAAGGCCCACCAAGGUGACGAUCAGUAGCCGGCCUGAGAGGGUGUACGGCCACACUGGAACUGAGACACGGUCCAGACUCCUACGGGAGGCAGCAGUGGGGAAUUUUCCGCAAUGGGCGAAAGCCUGACGGAGCAAUGCCGCGUGAGUGAAGAAGGCCUUCGGGUUGUAAAGCUCUGUCUUUAGGGACGAAGAAGUGACGGUACCUAAGGAGGAAGCCACGGCUAACUACGUGCCAGCAGCCGCGGUAAUACGUAGGUGGCAAGCGUUGUCCGGAAUGACUGGGCGUAAAGGGCGCGCAGGUGGACUAAUCAGUCGGAUGUGAAAACCUGGAGCUUAACUCCGGAACUGCAUCCGAUACGGUUAGUCUUGAGUACAGGAGAGGGUAGUGGAAUUCCCAGUGUAGCGGUGAAAUGCGUAGAGAUUGGGAGGAACACCAGUGGCGAAGGCGGCUACCUGGACUGUAACUGACACUGAGGCGCGAAAGCGUGGGGAGCAAACAGGAUUAGAUACCCUGGUAGUCCACGCCGUAAACGAUGGGUACUAGGUGUAGGAGGUAUCGACCCCUCCUGUGCCGGAGUUAACACAAUAAGUACCCCGCCUGGGGAGUACGGCCGCAAGGUUGAAACUCAAAGGAAUUGACGGGGGCCCGCACAAGCGGUGGAGUAUGUGGUUUAAUUCGACGCAACGCGAAGAACCUUACCAGGUCUUGACAUCCAACUAACGAAGUAGAGAUACAUCAGGUGCCCUUCGGGGAAAGUUGAGACAGGUGGUGCAUGGUUGUCGUCAGCUCGUGUCGUGAGAUGUUGGGUUAAGUCCCGCAACGAGCGCAACCCUUGUUGUUAGUUGCCAUCAUUUAGUUGGGCACUCUAACGAGACUGCCGGGGACAACUCGGAGGAAGGUGGGGAUGACGUCAAAUCAUCAUGCCCUUUAUGACCUGGGCUACACACGUACUACAAUGGCUUAUACAAAGAGAAGCGAGACCGCGAGGUGGAGCAAAUCUCAUAAAGUAAGUCUCAGUUCGGAUUGUAGGCUGCAACUCGCCUACAUGAAGUCGGAAUCAAUAGUAAUCGCGGAUCAGCAUGCCGCGGUGAAUAC
RNAcentral lists this ribosomal RNA (1264 nucleotides) under uncultured bacterium. RNAcentral's name for it is "bacterial SSU rRNA". It matches the Rfam family "Bacterial small subunit ribosomal RNA", at positions 94 to 1369 of the family's 1533-position model. The record is from RNAcentral.